UUAACCUGGCCUUGACAUACUAAGAACUUUCCAGAGGUGAUGGUGCUUCGGGAACUUAGAUACAGGUGCUGCAUGGCUGUCGUCAGCUCGUGUCGUGAGAUGUUGGGUUAAGUCCGCAACGAGCGCAACCCUUUUCCUUAUUUGCCAGCGGGUCAUGCCGGGAACUUUAAGGAUACUGCCAGUGACAAACUGGAGGAAGGCGGGGACGACGUCAAGUCAUCAUGGCCCUUACGGCCAGGGCUACACACGUGCUACAAUGGUCGGUACAAAGGGUUGCUACCUCGCGAGAGGAUGCUAAUCUCAAAAAGCCGAUCGUAGUCCGGAUCGCAGUCUGCAACUCGACUGCGUGAAGUCGGAAUCGCUAGUAAUCGCGGAUCAGAAUGCCGCGGUGAAUACGUUCCCGGGCCUUGUACACACCGCCCGUCACACCAUGGGAGUUUGUUGCACCAGAAGUAGGUAGUCUAACCGCAAGGAGGACGCUUACCACGGUGUGGCCGAUGACUGGGGUAAAGUCGUAACAAGGUAAGCGUAGAUGA
This 536-nucleotide ribosomal RNA is filed under the name uncultured bacterium. RNAcentral describes it as "bacterial SSU rRNA". It matches the Rfam family "Bacterial small subunit ribosomal RNA", at positions 970 to 1509 of the family's 1533-position model. The record is from RNAcentral.